This 95-nucleotide small nucleolar RNA is filed under the name Nannospalax galili (Upper Galilee mountains blind mole rat). RNAcentral describes it as "Small nucleolar RNA SNORA28 (ENSNGAG00000002091.1)". It matches the Rfam family "Small nucleolar RNA SNORA28", at positions 32 to 126 of the family's 126-position model. Rfam says of the family: ACA28 is a member of the H/ACA class of snoRNA that guide the sites of modification of uridines to pseudouridines. The record is from RNAcentral. Lineage: Eukaryota; Metazoa; Chordata; Mammalia; Rodentia; Spalacidae.
AAAUAAGUCAAUUCGUGCUUGCUAUAGCAAGAAAGUUUAAUCUAUUCCAGUGUUCUCUUCUCCAUGAGACACCCUGUUAUACAGGCUCAAACAAU